UGACUAGGAUUGUGCAGACUGUUUUUUGGG
Molecule: non-coding RNA, 30 nt
Filed under: Rattus norvegicus (Norway rat)
Lineage: Eukaryota; Metazoa; Chordata; Mammalia; Rodentia; Muridae
Source: RNAcentral